Molecule: ribosomal RNA, 305 nt
Filed under: uncultured bacterium
Lineage: Bacteria
Description: bacterial SSU rRNA
Rfam family: Bacterial small subunit ribosomal RNA
Source: RNAcentral
UCCUACGGGGGGCAGCAGUAGGGAAUCUUCCACAAUGGGCGAAAGCCUGAUGGAGCAACGCCGCGUGGGUGAAGAAGGUCUUCGGAUCGUAAAACCCUGUUGUUAGAGAAGAAAGUGCGUGAGAGUAACUGUUCACGUUUCGACGGUAUCCAACCAGAAAGCCACGGCUAACUACGUGCCAGCAGCCGCGGUAAUACGUAGGUGGCAAGCGUUAUCCGGAUUUAUUGGGCGCAAAGGGAACGCAGGCGGUCUUUCAAGUCUGAUGUGAAAGCCUUCGGCUUAACCGGAGUAGUGCAUUGGAAACU